ACGGGUGAGUAAUGUGUGGGUAAUCUGCCUCGCAGAGGGGGAUAACCCGGCGAAAGCUGGGCUAAUACCCCAUAACAUUGCUUGGUUCUCGGACCGAGUAAUCAAAGGAUGGCCUCUAUUUAUAAGCUAUCGCUGAGAGAUGAGCCCACAUCCUAUCACGCUUGUUGGUGGGGUAACGGCCUACCAAGGCGACGACGGGUAGCCGGCCUGAGAGGGUGUCCGGCCACACUGGAACUGAGACACGGUCCAGACUCCUACGGGAGGCAGCAGUGGGGAAUUUUUCGCAAUGGGCGAAAGCCUGACGAAGCAACGCCGCGUGGAGGAUGACGGCCCUCGUGGUCUUAAACUCCUGUCUAGUGGGACGAAAGUAUCCAGGGUGAAUAAUCCUGGGUAUUGACUGUACCGCUGGAGGAAGCUCCGGCCAACUCCGUGCCAGCAGCCGCGGUAAUACGGAGGGAGCAAGCGUUACUCGGAAUUAUUGGGCGUAAAGGGCGCGUAGGCGAUUCGACAAGUCAACUGUGAAAGCCCAGGGCCUAACCCUGGAAGUGCAGCUGAUACUGUCGGAUUUGAGUUCCGGAGAGGAAGG
This 586-nucleotide ribosomal RNA is filed under the name uncultured bacterium. Its description in RNAcentral is "bacterial SSU rRNA". It matches the Rfam family "Bacterial small subunit ribosomal RNA", at positions 102 to 661 of the family's 1533-position model. The record is from RNAcentral.